RNAcentral lists this long non-coding RNA (494 nucleotides) under Nicotiana benthamiana. Its description in RNAcentral is "long non-coding RNA (NBEN_LNC027834)". The record is from RNAcentral. Lineage: Eukaryota; Viridiplantae; Streptophyta; Magnoliopsida; Solanales; Solanaceae.
UGCUGACCUUUCUUCCCCCCUUUGGUGAGCUGACCUUCUUGUGUCACGAGUGAUGUCAAACCUCCUUCUUGUCUUCUAUUCCGGGAAGUGGUAUAAUAGGUCCCCUAAGGGAAGCCCUUUGGCAGCUGUCCGAGCCUUCCCUUGAUUGUGCCUUUAGGCUUUCUUCUUGCUGCUUUGUUUGCGCUUUCGAAUCCGCUUCUGUAAAGAAAGGAGAAGAGAGAGGCGUCGGCUAACUAAGGACGAUGAUGGAAACUAUCCCAGAAAGGUGAGCAAGAAGAGUCUUCACUACUAGCUAGUAUUGAAAGAAAAGAAGGCCUACCUUCGCUUUGUGCGCUAAGAGCUUUCUUUCCUGUAGGAUAGGAAGAAUGGAAUAGGAAGAUAAAAGGACAUUCUUCAGAGUGAAACUGAACCAGACAAAGGCCCUUCUCUCCGUGAUCAACUUCCUUUCGUAGUACCCAUACCCCCAGGGGAAUUCGAAUCCCCGCCGCCUCCUU